Molecule: ribosomal RNA, 278 nt
Filed under: uncultured bacterium
Lineage: Bacteria
Description: partial 16S ribosomal RNA
Rfam family: Bacterial small subunit ribosomal RNA
Source: RNAcentral
UACGAAGGGGGGCUAGCGUUGUUCGGAAUUACUGGGGCGUAAAAGGGCGCGUAGGCGGUCCCUCAAGUCAGGCGUGAAAGCCCCGGGCUCAACCUGGGAACCGCGCUUGAGACUGAUGGGCUAGAGUUCGGGAGAGGAUGGUGGAAUUCCCAGUGUAGAGGUGAAAUUCGUAGAUAUUGGGAAGAACACCGAUGGCGAAGGCAGCCAUCUGGACCGACACUGACGCUGAGGCGCGAAAAGCGUGGGGGAGCAAACAGGAUUAGAUACCCGUGUAGUCC